Molecule: long non-coding RNA, 539 nt
Filed under: Trifolium pratense (red clover)
Lineage: Eukaryota; Viridiplantae; Streptophyta; Magnoliopsida; Fabales; Fabaceae
Description: long non-coding RNA (TPRA_LNC002960)
Source: RNAcentral
UAUUUUAAAUAAGUGUCUUUGUUAUAGUGUAUAGAUUAUAGCUAGUGUAUUAGGCUUGCACGGGCUGACGAUAUGAUGAGUUAGUGUUAGCUUGUGCGCCGGUCAUGAUCCGAGAUUGGGUCGUGACAAUAGAGAUACAAAAAAAAUAUCUUAUUAUACUUAGCUAUCUUCAUAGUUGUGUAACUAUUUAUUAUACGCCUCUAUAGAAUAUUCUAGUUAGUAUCUUAAUACACAAUCAUAGGAAAUAAAUAAGGAGAAUGUUAACAUGUGCACCAAUGACACAUAUUAAGGAAACAAAAAUAGAAAGUAUUAAAUGUUGAAGCAUUAAAUUUUAACUUUUUAAGCAUUAAAUUUUUGUAUCAUUAAAUAUUAAAUUUCUAUAUUAAGAUACCUUAACAUGUGCCUUAUAUGCACAUGUUAAGACCAUCUCCAAUGGUGUAGUACCUAUUAGGUACUCAUGGUACUUAUUAGGUACUACCAUUGGAGCACAACACAUUUUAGUACCUAAUAAGUACUCCUUCUAAUAUAAGAACUCUCUC